CCAUGCAUUACUGGGUGGGCCUCCUUUGGCAGUGACCUGGCUGAUGGGCUACGUUCUAACGCGCAGAGACACGUACUGCCAAAGGAGACUUGCCCAGCAAUGCAGCU
This 107-nucleotide microRNA precursor is filed under the name Dichanthelium oligosanthes. RNAcentral describes it as "mir-399 microRNA precursor family". It matches the Rfam family "mir-399 microRNA precursor family". From Rfam's summary of the family: mir-399 was identified in both Arabidopsis thaliana and Oryza sativa computationally and was later experimentally verified. mir-399 is thought to target mRNAs coding for a phosphatase transporter. The record is from Rfam by way of RNAcentral. Lineage: Eukaryota; Viridiplantae; Streptophyta; Magnoliopsida; Poales; Poaceae.